This 425-nucleotide ribosomal RNA is filed under the name uncultured bacterium. Its description in RNAcentral is "bacterial SSU rRNA". It matches the Rfam family "Bacterial small subunit ribosomal RNA", at positions 356 to 773 of the family's 1533-position model. The record is from RNAcentral.
AGGGAAUCUUCCGCAAUGGACGAAAGUCUGACGGAGCAACGCCGCGUGAACGAUGAAGGCUUUCGGGUCGUAAAGUUCUGUUGUCAGGGAAGAACAAGUACCGGAGUAACUGCCGGUACCUUGACGGUACCUGACCAGAAAGCCACGGCUAACUACGUGCCAGCAGCCGCGGUAAUACGUAGGUGGCAAGCGUUGUCCGGAAUUAUUGGGCGUAAAGCGCGCGCAGGCGGUUCCUUAAGUCUGAUGUGAAAGCCCCCGGCUCAACCGGGGAGGGUCAUUGGAAACUGGGGAACUUGAGUGCAGAAGAGGAGAGCGGAAUUCCACGUGUAGCGGUGAAAUGCGUAGAGAUGUGGAGGAACACCAGUGGCGAAGGCGGCUCUCUGGUCUGUAACUGACGCUGAGGCGCGAAAGCGUGGGGAGCGAAC